This 253-nucleotide ribosomal RNA is filed under the name uncultured bacterium. RNAcentral's name for it is "partial 16S ribosomal RNA". It matches the Rfam family "Bacterial small subunit ribosomal RNA", at positions 524 to 776 of the family's 1533-position model. The record is from RNAcentral.
UACGUAUGGUGCAAGCGUUAUCCGGAUUUACUGGGUGUAAAGGGAGCGUAGGCGGCGCGUUAAGUCUGAUGUGAAAGCCUUCGGCUUAACCGGAGUAGUGCAUUGGAAACUGGGAGACUUGAGUGCAGAAGAGGAGAGUGGAACUCCAUGUGUAGCGGUGAAAUGCGUAGAUAUAUGGAAGAACACCAGUGGCGAAAGCGGCUCUCUGGUCUGUAACUGACGCUGAGGUUCGAAAGCGUGGGUAGCAAACAGG